GUACAAAGCCUCUAACUGUACAGAUCCUUAUCAGGUUCAUGUAAAUACAUUUGUAGAAGUCGGGGGGAAGAAACUUUGAAUCACUUCUCAACCAGAUUAUGCGCUUCACAGAGUGCCUGUUGGAGGUAGCUGAAAGCUUUUUGGUAAUUCAAGAAUCCCAUAAACCAGAAGUCAAAGUUAUCCAAAGUAACGAUUUCCAUGUACUUCUGAGAUGGAUUUUUCACAUUCUCGCUUUGGUUGGCUCUUUUUAUCUUUCUCAGUGGGAUAGAGACCUGCACAAAAGAAAAUGAAUUUACUUAGAUGUUAGCAAACAAGGAAAGGGAGAUCAGUUGACCUAGAGAGAUUUAUGUGACUAGCCCACCUUGUAAUGGAUCCUAAUCAAUUCACCAUUUGGAGAAGAGAAUUUGAUUGAUCUAUCACUGCAAAAGGCAAUCCUCUGAGAAGAGAUAAAGAGGAGACCAGCUAUAGGGCCUCCUGUUGUUGAUAAGUAGCAUUGGGAAGCCUUCAAUAGCUUCUCUCCUUCUCCAACAACAAAAAUUUGCUUGAAAACUCUCUUCACUCCUCCAACUUGAAGAAUCCUAGCCCCCAAGCUCAACUUUCCCUUCACCGUUUCAGAGAACUUAGGCCCUAAUCUCACUGCAGUUUCACAAAUGAAUGUUAAAAUCAGAAUGUUAAUGAUUCUUAAUCGUAACUGUAGCAAAAAAGUAAAAGUUAGCAACUCACCAUGCUCUCGGACUCCAUCCACAAAAUUAUCUGCCUUCUUCCUGUUUUUGUUGAUCCUGUAAUUUGUGGAAUCCCAUUUUUCUGCAAUUUCAAGACAAGGCCAUUAGCAAAAUGACUUCCAUUUUAAAGUCUUCUAUAACUAACAACUAAUAUGCAGAGUGGAAAGAGAUAGAGAGAGGGUUUUACUUUGGAUGAUUGCCCCAGAGCCAUUUGAAAGAGAUGGCUUAUCAUAUUGGCAGCUGACUGGGAUCCCAAUAAUAUGUUCUUGGAGUUGGCUCUUCAUAUUUCUGAAAGUGCUGCAAUUCAGUCUGCAGCAAGUGAUCUGGAAUGCUCUACUUUCUAGAGAUUGAAAAAACCCUUUGAGUUGAUCAACCCUGUACAAUGCAGGUGUAUUUAAAGGGACAAAAAUGGUGGGUGAAUCUUUAACUUCUGGUGGAUGACUCAUCCGUUGCUCAUAAACAAGAAUAAAGGCACAGACCUGAGCUUCAAGAAAAAAUAACUUCUAAUUAAAAAUAGUCUGAGAUGAUGGGGUAUAUUCGGUCUUUUUUGUAAGGCUAUGCAAGGACCUAUUCUUCUUUUGUUCAAUUUUCCAAGAGAUCAAAAGAAAGGUGUAUCUGGUUAAAUAUGGUGGGACAUAAUAAAAAGGGAAAUGAGAAAAAGGGAAGAUGACUCAGAGUAUGUGAAGAUGAAGCCUUUUGAGCUGGCAUUGUAGCUUUCUGAUGCUAAUACUAUAAGAAAAAGGGAAAUGAGAAGGCUUUACGUCAACCAAAUUACAAGCUAAAACAAAAGAUAUUUUAAUGGUUUCAUAAAGGAAGAUUGCAUCUAACCACCAAAUCAAACAGCCUCUUUGUUCUAAAAGGUUUAACUUUGAAUAGGACUCUUCUAUUCCCUGGAAUUCAGUCAGUACUUCUCAGGAAUUGCCCAGACAUUGGGGAUCAUACAACUCAGGAUGGAAUUCACGGAAAUUGUAGGAACAACCAGACCUCUUCUGGACAAGAAACUCUUGAGAACUUGGGUUCACAGGAGAAUGAAAUUCAUAGACACUUUGGGUGCAAGGAAAAGGAAAAGCCCCUAAAGAAAGAUCAACCUAUGAAGUCGAGAGUUGAUUAAAGUGGUCAUAAAAGGAAAACUCACUAUGCAUAAACCUGAUAGGACCAACCUGCCUUGUGCUUAUCACAAGCUCUGCAGCUGUCUUUUUAUCAAUCAUGUGCUUAUCUCAAGCUUUUUUAGCACUCUUUUUAUCAUCCAUGUUCUUAUCUCAAGCUUUUUAGCAGUCUUUUAAUCAUCCCUCUUCUCUUCAUCCUUAGAUUUUAAGGAAAAGAGGUGUUCCACCCUUUUCCAAAUGUCAACCUCUACAUAGAACUACUAAAAAAAUUUAUGGAGUCUAAGGACCAUGUUAAACGACAGUGUUGAUGAACAAUACAAUGGAUAUUUCAUCCAUCACAACAUCCAAGGGACCCCAGCAAGAUUCAUAAUCCUAAAUCUCAGUGAGAAGUGAGAACUUGUGAAGACAAUAGUAAAGAAAGAAAUCAUGAAAUUUUGGUCCUUUUUCACAGAUGGUCUUUAUUAUGGUUUGAGGGAGAAGCAUAUAUCAGAUCCUGUGAAUUUUGGCACAAAAGAAGAGACCUAUGUUUGGUAGGGCAGAACCAACUCAAAACCCCACCAAAUAGUAAUAGGGAACUUUUUCAGAAGACAUGUCAUGUUAGCUACUGGAAUGGAAGAUUCACUUUUAUUUGGGACAUGCCAUUUCUGUUAAAGCAAUAAAGAGGAAACUCCCUGUGCAUAGGACAAGCCGGCUCACAAAAGUUCACUUACCGACUUAACCAGCAGAUAAAUCUAGUUGCAAGUUUUACAGCUAAGCAAAUCACACUUCAGUAUUUCCAUCAGUACACUUGAGAAUUGAUACAUGGAAAUUUCAUUAGUAAGUAUAUAAAAAUAAGUACAGAGAAAAGGCUUUCGUUAAAAUACAGAGAAACAAGAACACAGCAGCUUCAGACAUCAAGUCCCUUAAGAUAUACUUAUUGAUGCCACUGACUUGUACACUACCAUAGAAAUGAGAUGUCAUCCAAGGAAAUUGAGAAAGCGAAUUAAAGAUUUCUGUUUUAUGGGACAAGGGUCACACUUGGAAUCAGAUGACAAGGUUAACCAUGUCCUUCGAUAUCCAGUUAUUACAUUGGAAUGGUUAUUUGAUUUUCCCCAGUCCUCUAUGUGGGAGUGAGUUGAAAGUGGCUGAGGUUGCUAUUAUUAGGGUGGGUAAUCACAAUGGUCAUCAAUAUCUUUGAACAAAAGGAAGAAAAUGAAUUCAUGCUACUGAGACUGAGAAUGAUGACUAAUCGACCUUGGAUUCUUUGACUCAAUCAUGUUGCACUACAGUUGAGAAUCUAUCACCGUUUGAUGGUUAUUUGAGUCAAUGAGACUGGUCUGAGAAGCAAAAUGAAUCUCCUCAUGAUAGAAAAACCUGGGGGUAACUCUGAUAUCAUAACCACCAACAGAGGAAUUGAUGACAAGUGCUAUAUUUGCUGCAGAAUUUAAGCUAAAAUAAACCAAAAUUCUGUUAAUAAUAUUCUGCAAGAUAGAGGAACAGUUUUUAGUUUAGUUUGAAUUUUUUUUUUUUUGAAUUCAUAUUUAACUUAGUAAUGCUAUUAAAAAUCUGUUGAAGAUAUGUAGGCAGAUUUUUUUUGGCUUUGUUUGUUUCUUUUCCUUUAUAAAUUCAGAUUUUGAAGCAACAAAAAGUGUGCAAUUUUCAGCCCCCAAAUUUUCUGUGUUUUUUUCUAACUCUAAAAACCUACAAAGUGGUAUCAAAGCCCUUUUUUCUUAAGGGACCUAUGAAGUGUGUGAGUGUAUCCAGUGUGAUAUAAACCACAACAAAUCAAAACCCAUCCUUCCUCUUGAAACCCAUAUGGCACGAUAUGAUUUUUUGUUUGCACCUCCAGUUUUCAUAGGUGAAAAUUACCAAAUAUGGACUAUGAAAAUGGAAUCGUACUUGCAAGCAUGUGACUUGUGGGACUUGGUGGAAACAGAUCCUAAGGAUCCAACAAUGGCACAAAUCAGGAACAAUAGAGGGGAAAGAAAGAGGAGAUAUAAGGCCAAGACCUGGAUCCACUCUGCAGUUUCAGAGACAAUUUUUUUUACAAAGAUCAUGACCUGUGAAACAACAAAACAGGCAUGGGAUCUUUUGAAAGAAGAAUAUCAAGGAAACAUCAGGAGAAAGAAAAUGUAGGUCUUGAACCUGAGAAGGGAAUUUGAAAUGCAGAAAAUGAAGGAGACAAAAGCAGUGAAGGAUUAUACGGACAAGUUGCUAAUGCUAGCUAACAAGAUUAGGAUGCUAGGGGAAGAAUUCUCUGACACAAGGGAAGUAGAGAAGAUUUUGGUGACCUUACUUGAGAGAUUUGAAUCCAAAAUCUCUUCACUUGCAGAGUCCAGGGAUCUGUCAAUAAUAACAUUGUCAGAACUCAUCAAUGCACUACAAGCUUAAGAGCAAAGGAGAGCUUACAGAUAGGAGGAGAUAAUUGAGGAAACAUUUCAAGUGAAAGAGGUUGAUCAAGCUCAAGGAGGCAACAAAGGAAAGAAACAGUGGAGUAAGAAGAGCAAUAAGAAGGGGGAAAACAGCAAUAGUGGAGGCAACCAGGGCAAGCACCCUCCAUGUCCUUAUUGUAAGAUAGUCUCUCAUUUGCAGAAAUAUUGCUUGUUUAGACCUGACAUUCAAUGCAGGGCAUGCAAAUAGUUGUGGCAUAUGGAAAGGGUGCGUAAAAACAAACAACAAGAAGGACACCAAGUGUAAGCAGUGGAUCAACACCAGGAAGAGCAACUUUUUGUUGCAUCUUGUUUUUCUAGUAGCAGUUCAAGUGAUGACUGGCUUCUAGACAGUGGAUGCACAAAACACAUGUCUUUUGAUGAAUCCCUUUUCAACAAAGUAAACAAGUCAGAGGUGUCAAAAGUCAGAAUUGGCAAUGGGCAGUAUAAAGAGAGUGUUGCAAUAAAAGGCUCCGCAGGUAUAAAGCUAAUUUAUGAUGUAUUACUUGUUCCAAAGAUUGAUCAAAAUCUGUUGAGUGUGGGACAAUUACUUGAAAAAGGUUAUUCUGUUGUGUUUAAGAAUAAAAUGUGUGUGCUUGCUAACUCAAAUGGUGUGGUGCUGUUUUGUGAAAAUGAAUAGCAAAAGUUUCAGUCUAAAUUGGAACAAGGACAAGUCUAGUGCAUAUUCAUGUUUUGGACCAGGCUGAGUUAUGACACAAGAGAAUGGGGCAUUUUCACUAUUCUGCAUUGGAUUACAUGCAGAAAAAGGAUCUUGUGCGAGGAAUGACUUACAAUAGAGGAGGAGCAGCAGUAUGUGGAGUUUGUCAGCUUAGAAAGCAAGCCAGAUUGUCAUUUCCUGUUAAUAAGGCAUGGAGAGCAGUUGAGAAGCUUCAAUUGAUCCAUACUGAUGUUUGUGGACCUAUGAGGACUGCAUCCUUAAGUGGUAAUAGGUAUUUUAUGGUUCUUGUUGAUGACUUUAGCAGAAUAUGUUAGGUUUAUUUUCUCAAACAGAAGUCUGAGGUUGCUGGUGUGUUUUGGAAGUUCAAAACAUGGAUUGAAAAUCAAAGUGGCUAUAGAAUUAAGGUGAUUAGAUCUGAUAAUGGGACUGAAUAUACAACUGACAAAUUUGUUAAGUUUUGUGAAGCUGUAAGGAUUGAACAUCAGCUUACUGCAACCUAUACUCAGAAAAAUGAAGUCAGUGAGAGGAAAAACAGGACAAUUAUGGAGAUGGUUGGAUGUCUGUUAUUUAAGAAGGAAAUGCCAAAAACAGGACAAUUGAGGCUGUUAAUACUGCUGUAUUUCUACUAAAUAGGUUACCAACCAAGGCUUUAAAGGGGAAAACACCUUUCGAAGUCUGGUAUCGUUUUAAACCUUCUAUUCAUAACUUAAGAAUUUUUUGUUGUUUGUGUUUUACUCAUGUUCCAGAUGCAAGGAGAGAGAAGCUGGAUCAAAAGGCAGACUAUGGAGUCUUUGUUUGAUAUAGCAGUCUCACCAAGGGUUACAGAAUUUAUCAACCCUUGACAAAAAAAAUAGUAAGUAGGGAUGUCAAAUUUGAUGAAGCUACAAGAUGGAAUUGGGAUAAGGCAGAACCAGAACAGGUUUAUACAGAAGAAAAAGAACCAGAAUUGCAAGUUGAUGAUGUGAUUGAUGAUAAGCCUAUAAGAGGUACUAGGUCACUUUCAAAAAUUUAUCAAAGGUGCAAUAUGGCUAUGUUUGAACCCGCAGGGUAUGAUGAGGCUAUUAAGGAUCCGAAGUGGAUUGCAGCAAUGGAGGAUGAGAUCAAGAUGAUUCACAAGAAUCAAAUCUGGGAGUUGGUGGACAGACCACUAUACAAGAAAGCUAUUGGUGUGAAAUGGGUUUUUAGAACCAAACUUAAUGUUGAUGGUUCUAUAAACAAAUACAAGGUAACGCUAGUUAUAAAAGGGUAUGCUCAAUUAUUUGGUGUAGAUUUUUCUGAGACUUUGCACCUGUAGCAAGGUUGGACACCAUUAGAUUGCUUAUAGCACUUGCAACAUAAAAGUAGUGGAGGAUCUACCAGCUUGAUGUAAAGUCAACCUUUCUAAAUGGUUAUUUGGAGGAAGAAAUUUUUGUUGAACAACCUGAGGAUUUUGUUGCAGAUCCAGAGAAGGUAUACUUGUUAAAGAAGGAGUUAUAUGGAUUCAAGCAAGCUCCAAGAGCUUGGUACAGCAGAAUUGAUGAGCAUUUGAAGAAGAAAGGCUUCAACAAAAGCAUAAGUGAAUCAACUUUGUAUAUCAAAGUUAUUGAUGAUGAACUAAUAGUUGUUUCAUUGUAUGUUGAUGAUUUGCUUGUCACAAGAAGUAAUGCAGAAUUGGUGUUAAGGCUCAAAUGAUGCAAGCAUUUGAGAUGACUGAUCUUGGAGAGAUGGCAUUCUUUUUAGGACUGGAGAUUCAACAAUUACAGCAAGGGAUCUUCAUUGAACAACAGAAAUAUGCCAAGGAAGUGUUGAAGAAAUUCAACAUGAAGGAUUGUAAGUCAUUAUGUACCCCUUUGGCUCAAAAUGAGCAAUUUAGUAAAGAUGAUGAUGCUCAAAAUGAGUAUUAUAGGUUGUUUGAUGUAUUUAAUAGCAACAAGACCUGAUAUAAUAUGCCUUGUAAGUCUGUUGUCCAGGUAUAUGCAUUGUGCAAGUGAGUUGCAUUAUAAGGUUGCUAAGAGGGUGCUCAGGUAUGUCAAGGGGACUUUUUUGAUCUUGGAAUAAAGUUUGAGAAGCGUUAGUUGUAUAUAUCUGUACUUACCAUAAUUAAGUUGUUUCCUUUCUUGUAGGCUGAUUCUUAGGGAUAAUACCUUUCUAAUUUAGGACUCUCAAUUGUAUAUAUAUGUGUAUUAUUCCUCUAAUAAAAAUACAGUAAUUCUCCAAAUACCUUUGUUGAAUUACAUGGUAUCAAAGCCUUUGGCUCAAAUUCUGGGUUUGUUAUUUCUAAGUCACUGAUUUCCAAUGACAUUCUACCAUUCUCUGUUCUUCUUGGGUCACGGAAUAAAAGUGACCUAGUAGUGUCAUUGCCUUCAGAGGGGGAAGCGCGGUGUAAAAUUACUUUGGAGAUUGAAUUUUACUACCAUGGAAAAGAAUAAGAAUUUUGUUGUUGAUAUAGCGCCUGUUGUGUCAAAAAUAACUGAACACAAAUUAAAUGGGUCUAAUUAUAUUAAAUGGAGCAAGAUGAUCAAAUUUUAUCUGAGAAGUGUUGUUAAAGAUGACCACUUGACUGAGGAACCUCCUAAUGAUAACACUAGAAAACUUUGGAUGCAAGAUGAUGCAGGGUUAUUUCUGCAAAUUAAAAACUCUAUUAAUAGUGAUAUUGUUGGUCUGCUGAGUCAUUGUGAAUUUGUUAAAGAGCUAAUGGAUUAUCUAAAUUUUCUUUACUCUGGAAAAGGAAAUGUAUCCCGGAUGUAUGAUGUAUGGAAUGCCUCCCAUUGUCCUGAGAAGGGAGCUAAAUCCCUCACUGCAUACUUUAUGGACUUCAAGAAAGUAUAUGAGGAAUUGAAUGCACUUAUGCCUUUCAGUCCGGAUGUUAGAGUACAACAGGCUCAAAGGGAACAGAUGGUUGUUAUGAGUUUCUUAUCCGGUCUCCCAUCUAAGUUUGAGACUGCAAAAUCUCAGAUUCUUUCUAGUUUUGACAUUGGUUCUCUUCAGGAAGUGUUCAGUAGAGUUCUACGAACUGAGAAUGUCCCGUCUUCUCAGCACACCAAUGUUCUUGCUGCAAAAGAAGAAAAUGGAGAGAAUGCAAGGAGGGUGAAUAACAGGGGCGGAAACAGGGCAUUUGAAAAUCGUGGCAAUGAUUCAAGUAUCAUUGUGUGUUUUACUGCCAUGAGGUUGGCCAUACCAAGAAGAAUUGCAAGAAAUUGUAGAAUCGGAAUCGGAGAAAUCAAAUUGCCAAUGUUGCUACAUCUUCAGACUCCUCAAACAAGAUUGUCACAAUGACAGCAGAAGAAUUUGCUAAAUAUUCACAAUAUCAAGAAGCACUGAAAGCAUCUACUCCUGUUAGUGCUUUGGCAGAGUUAGGUAAAACAUGUCUUGUCUCCUCCUCAAACAAAUGGAUAAUUGAUUCAGGUGCCACAGAUCAUAUGACAAGUAAUCAUAAACCUUUCUCUACCUUCAGAACACAUUCUACUCCUCCUGUUACUGUUGCUGAUGGUUCUACCUAUGAGACUAAAGGAUCUGGGACUGUGAAACCAACAUCUUCUAUUACUUUAUCUUCUGUGUUAAACUUACCAAAUUUGGCCUUUAACUUAAUCUCUAUCAGUAAACUUACCAAAAAUCUGAAUUGUAGUGUCUCAUUUUUCCUUGAUCAUUGUGUGUUUCAGGAUCUUAUGACGAAAUGGACAUUUGGUAAAGGACAUGUAUCUGAUAGGCUCUAUAUUCUUGAUGAGUGGGUACCUCGACCAAUUGCGUGUGUUAGUACAGCCUCUCCUGUUGAAGCUCAUUGUUGGUUAGGACAUCCUUCUCUACCGGUGUUGAAGAAAUUAUGUCCUCAGUUUGAUAAUUUACCUUCAUUAGAUUGUGAGUCGUGUCAUUUUGCUAAGCAUCAUCGUAGUUCUUUAGGCCCAAGGAUUAAUAAACGGGUUGAGUCUUUGUUUAAGUUAGUACAUUCUGAUGUUUGGGGUCCUUGUCCUGUUACUUCUAAAACUGGGUUUCGUUAUUUUGUUACCUUUGUGGAUGAUUUUUCUCAAAUGACUUGGAUUUAUUUUAUGAAGAAUCGUUCAGAAGUAAUUUCACAUUUUUGUGCAUUCUCUGCUGAGAUUAAAACCCAAUAUGAUGUGUUUGUGAAAAUAUUAAGAAGUGAUAAUAGAAAAGAAUAUGUGUCUAACUCAUUUUAGAACUACAUGAGUCACAAUGGGAUUUUUCAUCAAACAUCUUGUGUUGAUACUCCUCAAAAUGGGGUUGUUGAAAGAAAAAAUAGCUAUUUACUUGAGACGACUUGUGCACUCAUGUUUCAGAUGAAGGUUCUGAAACAAGUUUGGGCUGAUGCAGUUUCCACAACUUGUUUUUUGAUCAACCGUAUGCCCACUGUAGUGCUUAAAGGUGAUAUUCCGUACAAAGUAAGACAUCCACAGAAAUCACUCUUUCCAAUUGAACCAAGAAUUUUUGGAUGUACAUGCUAUGUUAGAGAUACAAGGCCUUCUGUUACUAAACUUGAUCCUAAGGCGUUAAAGUGUGUUUUCUUGGGGUACUUAAGACUGCAAAAGGGCUAUAGAUGUUUCUCGACUGAUCUCAAUAAGUAUCUAGUAUCAAUGGAUAUUGUGUUUUCAGAAGACACAUCCUUUUUCUCUUCACCCACAAGUUCUGCAAGUGAGGAGGAGGAUGAAGAAUGGCUUGUGUAUCAAGUGGUUAAUUCAAGACCAAUUGUUAGGCAAUCAAGUAUGGUUGAUUCUGAAGCGUCUCUUGCUCAUUUGGGUACUAUUCUUGAUGUUCCUCCUGCUCCAAUCAAACCACCAAUUGUACAGGUGUACUCUCGGCGCCUAAUGACAACAAAUACAUGUCCUGCACCAGCUCCUUUGUCAUCUGAUCCUUCCAGUGAUCUCAACCUUCCCAUUAGCCUUCGAAAAGGUAAACGACAAUGCAAAUCUACUUAUUCCAUUGCUAACUUUGUGUCUUAUAAUCACCUGUCAUCUUCCUCGAGUGUGUUUGUAGCCUCUAUAGAUUCUAUUUCAGCACCUAAAACUGUUAUAGAGGCCCUGAAUCAUCCUGGUUGGAAGAAUGCAAUGCUUGAAGAAAUUCGUGCAUUGGAGGACAAUCAUACAUGGAAACUUGUUGAUUUGCCUCAAGGAAAGACAAUUGUUGAUUGCAAGUGGGUCUUUGCAAUAAAAGUUAAUCCCGAUGGCUCUGUGGCAAGACUAAAAGCCAGGCUUGUAGCUAGAGGAUAUGCUCAGACAUAUGGAGUAGACUAUUCUGAUACUUUCUCUCCAGUUGCCAAACUGAAUUCAGUUUGACUAUUCAUUUCUAUUGUUGCUUCCCAACAGUGGAUGAUACAUCAGUUAGACAUUCUUCAUGGUGAUCUAGAAGAAGAAGUCUAUAUGGAGCAACCUCCUGGGUUUGUUGCUCAGGGGGAGUGUGGGAAGGUUUGUUGUUUGAAAAAAGCUCUCUAUGGAUUGAAGCAGAGUCCCCGUACUUGGUUUGGAAAAUUCAGUAAAGAGAUUCAAGCAUUUGGAAUGAACAAGAGUAAGAAAGAUCAUUCUGUUUUCUAUAAGAAAUCAGCUGCUAGUAUCAUACUUCUUGUGGUUUAUGUCGAUGAUAUAGUUAUUACAGGAAAUGAUCAUGCAGGAAUCUAUGAUCUUAAGGCAUUCAUGCAUUCCAAGUUUCAUACAAAGGACUUGGGUGAACUGAAGUAUUUCCUGGGAAUAGAAGUAUCAAGGAGCAAGAAAGGGAUGUUCUUAUCACAGAGGAAGUAUGUGCUUGAUCUGCUUGAAGAGAUUGGUAAGAUAGAAGCAAAGCCAUGUACUACCCCGAUGGUUCCUAAUGUACAGCUAAUGCCAGAUGAUGGAGAUCCCUUCUACAACCAUGAGAAGUAUCGGAGAGUGGUUAGGAAGCUGAAUUAUCUCACCGUGACGCGACCAAAUAUUGCAUAUGCAGUAAGUGUUGUUAGUCAGUUCACAUCUACGCCUAUAGUAAAGCAUUUGGUAGCUUUAGAGCAGAUUUUAUGCUAUCUGAAGAAGGCUCUUGGCCUAGGCAUACUAUACAGUAGUCAGGGACACACUCGCAUUGAGUGUUUUUCUGAUGCAGAUUGGGCAGGUUCUAAGUUUGAUAGAAGAUCCACUACAGGUUAUUGUGUGUUCUUUGGUGGGAAUCUAGUGGCUUGGAAAAGUAAGAAGCGAAGUGUUGUAUCCCGUUUGAGUGCAGAAUCUGAGUAUAAGGCCAUGACACAGGCUACUUGUGAAAUCAUAUGGAUACAUCAACUCUUAUGUGAAGUGAGAAUGAAGUGCACAAUGCCAGUGAAGCUUUGGUGUGACAAUCAAGCCGCUCUUCAUAUUGCUACGAACGCAGUCUAUCAUGAAAGAACCAAACACAUUGAGGUUGAUUGUCACUUCAUUCGUGAAAAGAUUGAGGAAAAUCUAGUCUCUACUGGCUAUGUGAAGACUGGAGAGCAACUUGGGGAUAUUUUUACAAAAUCUCUAAAUGGAACUCAAGUUGAGUACUUUUGUAACAAGCUAGGCAUGAUCAACAUCUAUGCUCCAACUUGAGGGAGAGUGUUAGCUGUAUAUAUCUGUACUUACCAUAAUUAAGUUGUUUCCUUUCUUGUAGGCUGAUUCUUAGGGAUAAUACCUUCCUAAUUUAGGAUUCUCAAUUGUAUAUAUAUGUGUAUUAUUCAUCUAAUAAACAUACAGUAAUUUCUCUAAAUACCUUUGUUGAAUUACAGGAAGAAAGAUAAGUUGGUUUUGCAUGGUUUUGCUGAUAUGAGGAGCACAUCAGGCUGCUUGUUUAGUCUUGGAUCAGGUUGUUUAUGUUGGAGUUCAAAGAAACAAGAAAUUAUAGCUCAGUCUACUGCUGGGGCUGAGUAUGUUGCAGCUAUUAUCGCUUUCAAUCAAGUCCUAUGGUUAAGGAAGCACAUGACAGAUUUGAAGAUGGUUUAGAAUGUUGCAACCAGAAUUUUGGUUGAUAAUCAAGCUGCCAUAGCAAUUUCUAACAAUCUAGUGUUUCAUAGCAAGACAAAGGCAUUUUAAAAUUAAGUAUUGUUUUGUUAGAGAAGUCCAAAAUAAUGAUGAAGUGAAUUUGGUACAUUGCAAGACUAAAGCUCAACUUGCUGAUAUUUUGAUAAAGGGACUAUCAAAAUCAAGGUUUGAAUUAUUGAGGAAAAAAAUUGGUGUUUGCAGCAAAAAUAGCAAGGAAUGAUGACAAGUGAUAUAUUUGUUGGAGAAUUUAAGCUAAAAUAAACCAACAGAGCUGGUAUCCUGUUGAGAAUAUUCUGCAAGAUAAAGGAACAGUUUUUAGUUUAGUUUGAAUUUUUUUUUUUUUUUGAAUUCAUAUUUGACUUAGUAAUGCUAUUAGAAAUCUGUUGAAGAUAUGUAGGUAGAUUUUUUUGGCUUUGUUUGUUUUUUUUCCUUUAUAAAUUCAGAUUUUGCAGCAAUGAAAGGUGUGCAAUUUUCAGCCCCAAAUUUUCUGUGUUUUCUAUUCUUACUCUAAAAACCUAUAGAAAUGUUUCAUGUGUUGUUGUCUAGGACCUGAAAAAGACACAGCUCUUUAAGUUUCAGGGAAAACUUAUGAAGCCAAAUAUCUGAAAGGAGGAGGAUGUUCCAUAUUGUUUUGAGAAUCAAAAUUACUCACUUCAGAUUCACGGUGGUCAAGGACCUAUCAGUGAUCCAGUCAGGGCAAUAUAGACCAAGCUUAUUUGGAAUUGCACAAGUUCAUGUCUAUAACUAGCUUGGAUACCAUGAAAAUAGCAAUUACUCUAGAAUAACUGAUUCUAUCUACUUAUGGAAAACCAACAGUUAAAGAAUUGUAUGUGUGAAGUGUUGUUGGCUCUAGCUAAGCAUAGCAGAUGAAGCAGAGGGGAAGAAAUGUAUCAACUUGAAUCACUUUUUCAGUAGAUUAUAGGCUCGGUAGAUUUUUUGUUGAAAGCUUUCUGAUAAUUCACAAAUGUCUGAAAACUCCUAGGGAAGUAGCCUUCGAAUGUUUUUUUUUUUUUUUCAACACUGAAAAAUUGCUUGAAAACUCUCUUAAAACCUACAAUUUGAAGAAUCCGAGGCCCCAAGAUCAACUUCCCCUUCAUUGUUUCAAAGCUCUUAAGCCUUAAUCUCACCACAGUUUCACAAAUUCUGUUUCGUUCUUGAGAACCCAGGGGAGAUGAAAGCAAAAUUUCAUCCUGUUACAAACUCUCUUUCCAGCUCUAGGGUACACAUCUUCGUACCACUUUGGAGUAGGAGCAAUGGAAUGUGUCAUAUGGCAUAGCUACUCAAGCACUAGCACAAUCAUCACUUUGGAAGAACUUGUUUUUUGCACAAGUGGAAUAUAAGGGGUAGAAGAAUUGGAGAUCAAUUUCUCAUUAGAAAAAAUUUGUACAAAGCCUUUGACUGUGCAGAACUCUAUUAGGUUCACAUAAAUACAUUUGUUAACGUGGGAGGAAAGAACUUAAUGGCUUGAAUUACUUCUGGACUGGAUUUGGCACAAGAGAGAUUGUCUGUUGAAGAUAGUUGAAAGUUUUCUGGUAAUUCAAGAAUCCCAUAAACCAGAAGUCAAAGUUAUCCACGGUAAUGAUUUCCAUGUACUUCAGAGAUGACUUUGUCACAUUCUCGCUUUGGUUGGUUCUCUUGAUCUUUCUUAGAGGGAUAGAGACCUGCAUAAAAGAAAAUGAAUUUACUUAGAUGUUCAAAAAUCAUGGAAAGGGAGAUCAGUUGACAUAGAGAGAGUUAUGUGGGUAACCCACCUUGUAAUGGAUUCUAACCAAUUCACCAUUUGAACAAGAAAAUUUUAUUGAUCUUUCACUACAAAAGGCUGUCAAAAUACUCAAAAAAACUCCACAGAAACCAAGAACUCUGAUAAGCUUUUUUAUAUUUCACCGCAUCCAUCUAUAUACAGAUAUAUAUCCUAUAAACGGAAUCUAACUGAUUCCUAAAUUGUAUAUGGUAACAUUAACAAAUACAUGGUAAGUCAAUCUGUCAAUCUUUUCUUAGAUGUACAGCCAAUAUGAUUCCUAAAUUGUAUAUGGUAACAUUAACAUUCCUAUAUGUACAAUCAAUAUGAUUCCUAAAUUGUAUAUGGUAACAUUAACAUGCCCCUUCAAAUUGAUGCUAGUAAGUCAACCAACAACAAUUUGCCAACAAGAAAUUGAUGUCGCUGUCAAGUCAAAGCUGUGGUGAAGAUAUCAGCCACUUGGAGAUCAAAAGAGAUGUGAGAAAGAGAUAUCACCCGACUUUCCAAGAUGUUUCGAAUAGAAUGACAAUCAACCUCAAUGUGCUUGGUAUGUUCAUGUAAAACAGGAUUGGUGGCAAUCUGAAUAGCACUAGUGUUAUCAGCAUGAAGAGGUGUAGAAGUAGUAUAAGGAAACCCAAGCUCCUUAAGAAGAUCGUGUAGCCAUACAAUUUUAGAACAAGCAGUAGACAUGGCACGAUACUCGACCUUAGUAGAAGAGUUACAAACACAAUCUUGUUUCUUACAUCUCCAAGAAAUUAAGGCAUCACCUAAAAACAUACACCAACUCGUAGUAGAUCGACAUGUAUCUGGACACCCAGCCCAAUCAACAUCACUAUAGGCAACAAGUUGAAGAGAAGAGUCAGUAGGAAAGAAUAACCCACAAGUAAGUGAACCUCGAAGAUAGCAUAUGAUGCGUCGAACUGCAACAAGAUGGAGAUGUCGAGGAGAAGUCUUAAACUGACUGACCUAAUGAACAACAUAGGAGAUAUCAGGUCGAGUAGUGGUCAAGAAGAUAAGACUCCCAACCAAGCGCCGAAAAAGAGUAGGAUCAUCCAGAAGGUCCCCUUCAUCUUUCCUGUAUUUGACAUUUUCCUCCAUAGGAGUAUCAACAAAAGAAGUGUCCUCCGAACCAGCCAAAGUGAUAAGAUCUUGAAUAUACUUAUGUUGGUUCACAAAAAUACCACUAGCCCGAUGAUGAACUUCCAAUCCUAAGAAGUAUGUGAGCUGUCCAAGAUCUUUCAUAUGGAAAGUUGUAUGUAACUUCCGCUGAAGCUUAGUAAUCAAACCACAGCCAGUGCCAGUAAUGAUAAUAUCAUCCACAUAAACCAAGAGAAGGACUAUACCCAACGCAGACGUGUGGAAGAAGAGGGAAGAAUCAUACUGACUUUGGGUAAAGCUGAAGGAAAGAAUUGUACUGUGAAACUUCUUAAACCAAGCUCGGGGCGCUUGCUUGAGCCCAUACAAAGAACGUUUUAGCUUACAAACAUCAUGAGGAGAAGAAUUAGUCAUACUAGAGGGAAGCUUCAUGUAAAUCUCUUCCUGGAGAUCACCAUGAAGAAAAACAUUCUUUACAUCCAUCUGAUAUAGUAGCUAUGACUGUGAAGCAGCAAUAGCUAAGAUGGUUCAAACCGUGGUCAUUUUGGCAAUAGGAGCAAAUGUCUCCUCAUAAUCAACCUCAUAUUCCUGCUUGUUACCCAGAGCUACGAGGUGAGCUUUGUACCGAUCCAAAGAGCCAUCAAAACGAAGUUUUAUAGAGAAAACCCAUUUACUCCCAAUAGGUUUGACUAUAGGAGGACAAGGAACAAUAUCCCAAGUAUGAUUCUCCUCAAUUGCUUGAAGUUCUGCUUGCAUUGCAUUUUUCCAACACUUAUGUUCCAUGGCCUGUUUGUAGCAAGAGGGAAUAGAAAUAGUGGAUAAAGUAGCAACAAGAGAGACAGGAGAGAAGAAUCCAUACCAAUCAGGGGGUCGAGAAAGACGAGUAGACCAACGAAGAGUGGUGGAAGCAGGAGCAGUUUUAUAAGGCCUCAGAUUGAAAACAAGGUGAGGUUCAACCGAGCUAAGGAUCCAGGUCAUAACCCGAGCAUCCUUCAUUUCCCACUUAGACAAAGCCUCGGCAUCACGAGGUGCAGGAUUACUCCCAUCAAUAUGACCCCAUAAUUCUUUUCCUUUGACAAAUAAUUUAAAUUGAAACUCCCAAGCACAAUAAUUUUUGCUAGUAAAUCUAAUAGGAAACGAUUCCAACUUAUCUGAUGACAUGAUGCAACCGAGAGACAAAGGAAAUAGCCCACCAGAAAAUUGAAACAUAAACGACCAAGAACCAGGUCGCGAUGAACCCGAUCAACACUGUUUUCGAUGCCAAGCAUUUGAUUGGUAGAAGAUCACGAACUCCACUCAGAAGGUGCCAAAACCUUGCUCUGAUACCAUGUCAAAAUACUCAAAAAACUCCACAGAAACUGAGAACUCUGAUCAGGUUUUUUAUAUUUCACUGCAUCCAUCUAUAUACAAAUAUAUAUCCUAUACAUGUAGUCUAACUGAUUCCUAAAUUGUAUAUGGUAACAUUAACAAAUACAUGGUAAGCCAAUUUGUCAAUCUUUUCCUAUAUGUACAACCAAUAUGAUUCCUAAAUUGUAUGGUAACAUUAACAUUCCUAUAUGUACAACCAAUAUGAUUCUAAAUUGUAUAUGGUAACAUUAAUAAAGGCAACCCUUUGAGUAGAGAUAAUGAGGAGGCCAACUAUAGGGCCUGCUGUUGUUUAUAAAUAACAUUGGGAAGCCUUCAAUAGCUUUUCUCCUUCUUUAACACCAAAAAUCUGCCUGCAAACUCUUUUCACGCCCUCAAGUUGAAGAAUCCUAGCCCCCAAGCUCAACUUUUCCUUCACAAUUUCAGAGAACUUAGGCCCUAAUUUCACUGCAGUUUUGCAAAUGAAAUAUGGUUAAAAUCAAGAUGUUCACUAUUUUUCUUAAUCUCAAGUGUAGGAAAAGAGAAACAGUUACAAACUUACAAUGUUCUCGGACUCCAUCCAAAAAAUUGUCUGCCUUCUUCCUAUUUUUGUUCAUCCUAUAAUUGGUUGAAUCCAUUUUUUCUGCAAUUUCAAGACAACACCAUUAGUAUAACAACUUCCAUUUUGAAGUCUUCUACAACUAAAACAACUGACAGGAAAAGUAGAGAGAGAAAGAGAGAGUUUUACUUGGGAUGAUUGCCCUAGAGCCUUUUGAAGGAGAUGGCCUAUCAUAUUGGAAGCUUAUUGGGAUUCCAACAACAUGCUCUGGGAGUUGGUUCUCCAUAUUUGUUGAAGUGCUGCAAUUCGGUAUCUCUUAUCUCCAACUGCCUCGUCAGUUGUCUUCAACAAGUAGUCUGGAAUGCUUUGGUUUAUAGAAAUUGAAGAAACGCUUUGAGGUUGAUCAAAACCUGUACAAUGCAGGUGUAUUUAAAGGGAUAGAAAUGGUGAAUGAAUCUUUAACUUUUAGUUGAUGACUCAUCCAUUGCUCAUCAACAUGAAUAAAAGCAUAGACAUAAAAAAAAUUGUACUUAAAAAUAGUCUGAGAUGAUGGUGUCUUCGGCCAUUUUUGAAAUACUAUUGUAAGAAGGACUUAUUCUUGUUUUGUUUAGUUCCCAAGAUAUAUCACAAGAGAGGUGUAUUUUAGUUGACUCAGAGAGUAUGUGAAGAUGAAGCCUGUUGAGCUAAUAUUUUAGCUUUCUGAUAUCAGCCCUCUUUCAAUACUACAAGAAAAAGGGAAAUGAGAAUGCAUUACUUCAGCCAAAUUUCAACCAAAUAAGAUAUUUUAGUGGUUCAUAAAGGAAGAUCGCAUCUAACCACCUAAUCAAACAACCUCUUUAUUCUAAAGGGUUUAACUUUGAAUAGGACUCUUCUAUUCCCUGGAAUUCAAUCAGUACUUCUCAGGAAUUGCCUAGACAUUGGGGAUCAUACAACUCAAGGUGGAGUUCACAGCAACUAUGGGAACAACCAGACCUCUUUCUAGACAAGAAAGUCUUGAGAACUUGGGUUCGCAGGAGAAUGAAAUUCAUGGACACUUUGGGUGCAAGGAAAAGGAAAGGCCCCUAAGGAAGGAUCAACCUAUGAAGUCAAGAGUUGAUUAAAGUGGUCAUAAAAGGAAAACUCACUAUGCAUAAACCUGAUAGGACCAACCUGCCUUGUGCUUAUCACAAGCUUUGCAGCUGUCUUUUUUAUUUAUCCAUGUGCUUAUCUCAAGCUUUUCAUUCCUUUUAUUCUCAUCCCUGGCUUUAAGGAAAAGGGGUGCUAGACAAGCCUCAUUAUUGAUGCAUCAAAAUGCAAGUCUCUAAAACCAAAAAAAAAAAGAAAAAAAAAAAAGAAGAGCAUAUUUGGCAUUUUUGAUUAAAUAUCAUUUAUUUUUUUAAAAGGAGAAAAUUGCUUUUAGAAAAUUCAUAGUAUUGUUUGACCGUUAUUCUCGAUUUCUAGUUUUUUUAAAUAAGAAAAUGAAGGAGAGAAUAAUUUUUAGAAAAAGAAUAAUUUAAGAAUAAUUUGCAAUUCAAAAAAUUGAUAAAAUUAAUUGUAGAAUAAAUCAAAGCAUUCUAGAAUUCUUUGUGCUCGUAAUUGAUUGCUACAUAUUUGCAUGUGAUUUUUUAUUUACUUAACGCGGCGCGGCGGCGCCUAACGGGCAGAUCAAGUCAGGUGAGGAGUUCGCGCCCGUUUAACGGAAAUUCAAGUUUUAAACAUUCCCGCGCUUACUUGCAUUACAAGGAUCCCAACGCCUAUAAAUAGAAACAGAAGAGCUAAAGAACAUAACAGCAAGCUUGUAGUUCUCUCUGAAGACCGCCUUCUUCUCUUGUUUUCUACUUCUUCUUCAGGUUUGCUUCCUUCUUUAUAUUUUGGGUUUUUGCUUGAGGGUUUUGAUUCAUAUCGAAGAUGGGUUGGUGGAUUUAUUUGGUAUUUGGAAUUGAGAAUCGGAGAUUUAAAGAUUCUGAUAGAUAUGGGUUUUGGAUUGAAGUUUUUAAGAAUUGGAAAGUUAAGGGUUUGAUGGAUGUGAAGAGAUGAAAUUAUUUUAUUUUAAUUGAUGUUUUGCAGCCAUUCGUGGUGGAUUUCUGAGUGUUUUAAAUUGAGGAUCAUGGUGGAUUUCUGAGGGUUUUAAAUUGAAGAUCAUAGAUUUAAGGGCUUUCUCGAUGUUGAUGUUAGGAUCUUGAAGGAUUUGUUUGGUGCAGCAAACUUAUAUGUUCUACCUAUGUAUUUUUUGUGAUGUAGCCAUGGACAUCAAGCCAUCAAGAUUGGUUGGAGACAAAAAUGAAAGGGGAAGAAGACAUGUGAACAACAUGGUUUGUUCCUAUUGGCUCCGUGGGAGGUGCAACAGAAACCCUUGUAGGUUCCUGCACCAAGAAUUGCCCCAAAACACCCACUAUCAAAUUUCAAAUCAGUUCCGCAAAAAUUGCUGGCAGAGGAAUCCCGACUCUGAUUCGAAGAGUGCAUCAAGUUUAACGAGUCUGGAUAGGCCAUCAGGUUCAACAACUCCGAAGCGUUCAUCAGCUUCAAAUCAAUCCCAUAGAAACCACAGGGAGGGGACUCUCUAUUCUGACCAGAAGGGUGAAUGGGACUCAACUAAUCUAAGGUGUUCAUCAAGUCCAACAAGAGCAGGAAGUAGCUCUGGAAAUGGAAUUACACAGAAUGUAAUUGGAGAAAGGGUCUGCAAGUACUGGCUACAUGGAAAUUGUGUGGAGGCAGAUAAGUGCCGGUAUCUCCAUUCAUGGUUUAAGGGCCAUGGGGUUUUCAAGUUGGCAGAGCUUAAUGGGCACAUCAAGGUAGUUGGUGCAGUAAUUAAGAUGGUGCUUUUGUUAAUUGGUUAAAUUGAACAUCUUAUCCAUGAGAAUUUUUUUUUCUUUGUUCAGGCCAUCUCAGGAAUUGUGCUUCCUUCUGGCUCAGAGAAGCUCUAUACUGCCAGUCGAGAUGGGUAUAUACGGGUUUGGGACUGCCAUACUGGUCAAUGUGAUGGUGUGGUCAAUCUUGGAGGGGAAAUUGGGUCCUUAAUCAGUGCAGGCCCUUGGGUAUUUGCUGGAAUAAAAGAUGUUGUUAAGGUAAGAUUGAAACACAUCUUAUUCCUUUUCUCUUCAAUUUGUUUGUUCAAUUCAGUUUAAUAAGAAUUUGAUGUAUGGGAUCGUAUCUGUGCUGGUACUGUUUCAGGCAUGGAAUAUUGAGUCUUGUGCUGAUGUCUCUCUUGACGGACCAGUUGGGCAAAUUUAUGCUAUGGUGGUGAAUAAUGAUAUGCUAUUCGCGGGGGCACAGGUAAAUUUCUUCAUAGUUUUUAACUUUCUGUGUCGUUCUAUUAGGAAUGGUAAUGAUUUGGUAUAUUAUAUGACCCCUUAAAAUGACUAAUGGAGUCCAACUUCCCAUUCUGCCUUACAACCUGAAAAUAGCAGUGUGAAAGAACUUGCACAUUUGAGUCCGACCCUUUUUUUUUUACUCUUUUUCUAUUUCAAAAUAUUGGGGUCACACUCCAAAGUUAUUUCUUAUUUUUUAUUUUGUUGUUGCAGAAUGGCACUAUACAUGCAUGGAAAGCCAAUAAGGAAACCAAUGCUUUUAAGCCAGCUACAACAUUGGAAGGCCACAAUGGUGCUGUGGUUUCACUCACAGUAGGCGGUGGGAGGCUUUAUUCUGGUUCCAUGGACAAUACAAUAAGAGUAGGUUUAAUUAAGCUCUUUUAUAUGCUAUGAUAUCAUUUUUCUAUGCAAAGUGGUUUGGAAAUAUGUCAGCUAGAGAUUUUACAUUAAGGGUGUUUGUUUUAUCAUUUCCUAUAAUGCGAAAACUGCUAAAUAGUCAUGGUCUAUUUGAAUAUCCAAAUUGUAAAAUUCAUGGGACUUCUUUAAUUGAAUAGUUACCAGAAUAUCUAGUUAAUGCUGUUUGACUUAAUAUUGCUCAGUUGUUCCAUUGUCAUGGUUUAUAAUAUUUCUUGAUGAAAUGUGUAUAUAUGAGUGAUUAUCAUAUUCCUUUCAGGUGUGGGAUCUUGAUACAUUACAAUGUAUUCAUGCACUGAAGGAGCAUGCAUCAGUUGUGAUGUCUCUUGUUUGUUGGGGUCCCUAUUUAAUAUCAUGUUCAUUGGACCAAACAAUUAAGGUCGGUUUCAUUUCUUACAUUUAUUAUAUUCACCAUGGAUAUUAGACCUGAUGUCUGUUCUGAUUCUUGUUUUGGUGCAGGUUUGGUUUGCUACUGAAGCUGGCAACCUGGAAGUGACUCACACACACAAUGAAGAACAUGUAGGUUAUUGUCAUUCAGUUCUUUUUUUAUCUUAAUUUAUGAACUGUGGAUUUUGGUUUGCUUCUAGGAACCCUUUUAUCAAGGGAAUGGUUGGUGGUAAUGCUGAUAUAUUGCUGUCAUAAUGCUGUUAUACUCUGCUUCUUGUUACAGGGUGUGCUAUCUCUUUUUGGUAUGAACAAUUCGGAAGGGAAACCAAUAUUGUUGUGCUCCUGCAAUGACAAUUCUGUGCGGCUUUAUGAAUUACCAUCGUGAGUAUAACCAUUACUUUCUAGGUUUUAUUUCCCUUCUUAAUUCAAUUAUUCUUGGUAAACAGAACAUUCUUCCCUGUUUCUUGGUUGACUAAUUUUAUUUGUUGUGGCAUAGAUUCACUGAGAAGGGCAGCAUAUUUGCAAAAGAAGAAGUCAGAGAGAUUCAGAUAGGUCCAGGGGGACUUGUUUUCACUGGGGAUGGAACUGGACAAGUUGAUGUUUGGAAAUGGCAGGCAGAGCCAACUUCAUUGACAUCUGAAUGAUGGAAGGCAGUUGUUAUCUCCAGAAAGCUAUGCUCUGAUUCUGGUUUGUCAAUAUGAUCAUUCACACGCAGAAUUCUCUUUGUAGUAAUCUUACAAACUGUAAAUUUGUAAUCUCCACUCAUUCAAUGAAAAUUCAUUUUGUCAUAUUAGUAUUGUCAUUGCCAACUCUUUGUUUCGAGGGUUAGUUCAUUUACCAUUGCUCCUAAGUCAUGCCCAGAAACUGGCAUUUUAGCCUUUGGGGAAGAUUCAGCUUUUGAACAAGCACCUCUAUUACUUGUUUUCUUUAGUCUGACUCAGAAUAUGUGAAGAUGCAUCAUUUUGAGCUUUCAUUUCAUCUUCCUGAUGCCAGACCUCUUUUAAUUCUAUAUGAAAAAGGGGAAUUGAGAAGACAUUAGAUCAGCUGAAUUACAAGCAGAAAGAUAAGAUAUUUUAAUGGUUUCACAGAGGAAGAUUGAAAAUAACUACCAAACUAGACAACCUUUUUGUUCUAAAUCAGAUCCUAUGAAUUUGACACAGAAAAGAGAGUUGGAUUGUCGAGGCUAGAACUAUGAGAGAACCCCACCAAAUAAUAGCGGCUACUUGUUUGGAAGGCAUGCCAUAUUAGCUGCUGGAAGGGCAGAUUCACUUUUAUUGGGGACUUGCCAUUUCUGUAGAAGCAAAUAGAAAGGAAACUCCCAGUGCAUAACAAGAGCCAGCUCAUCUAAGUUCACUCACCAACUUGGAAAGCAUAUAAAUCUAGUUCCAAGUUUGAUAGCCAAGCAAGUCAUGCUUCUGUAUUUCUAUCAGUAGGCCUGAAGAGUGGACACACAUAGAAAUAUAUUACAUUCAUUAUAAGUUUAUAACCCCAAUUACAGACAAAAGGCUUUCCAUAAAAUACAGAGGAAGAUGCACAAUAGCUUAUGACAUUCAAGUGCCUUGAGAUAUAAUCAAAAUAUAACAUAAGAGCAAUUUCCUUUUUCAUCUACAGUUUUACCAACUGCAAGGUUCUCAUAAACACAAUUGAAAAACAAUUCAUUUUUCUUAAGCCAGCAACAUUCUUCAGUCAAGUCUGGUCAUAUGCUUUAAGCCUCACAAAGAGAAAUCCCACUACCCCAAGUAGAUGAACCUGGAAUUGUUGUCAAUAAUUUGAUUCCCAGCGAAUGAGAUGUCCUCCAAUUUCUGUUUCACGGGACAACUGACAUAGUUGGAAUCAGGUGACAAGAUUAACCAUGUUGUUCAAUAUUCAACAUUGGAAUUGCUACUUGAGUUUCCCAAAAGCAAUUAGCAGGGUGGGUAAUCACAAUGGUCAUCAAUAUCUCUACCCAAAAGAAGACAAUGAAUUCAUGCUAUUAAGAUUGAGAAUAAUGACUAAUCAACCUUGGAUUCUUUGACUUAACGAUCUUGCACUAUGAUUGAGAAUCUAGCAGAGUUAAGAGCAAUUGCACAUGAAGGGGUUCGUUAGAGCAUGAUAUUCAUUGUAGGCUCAAAUUCUAAUACUUUAAUAACCUUUUAGGAAAAUUGGGAACUUAACAAAAGUCGUAGAAUUUUCAAAUAUAAUAAUGUAUUGGAUUUUGGCAGCUCAAUGUAUCUUUUUUCAAUAAAAUUAUAAUUUAAUACUCUUAGUUUGUUCAUAAAAAUUUACGUAUGAAACUAUAGUUCAAUAUGCUUACUGAUAUCCUACAACGAAUAAGAGAAGUUUCUGACACAAUAUAUGUAGUGAACUCUUCUUAACCAUGUCAAUACAUUUUAAAGUUGUGAGAACCUAUUAGGUCCAAAAUAAACAAUAUCUACAUAAGAGGGAGUAGAUCAUUACACUUACUAUAUUCAUGAAAGUAGAGAGCUGACUACAAUGAUAAUGUAGUUUACUUGACAUAGAACAACUAGCUAGUUGAGAAUGCUCUAAAAGGACUUGCAGUAGCUAGCUAAAGCAAAGUUUCCCUCAUCAUGAGAUAACUAGCCCGAUUUGAUUCACCAGAGGUUGCCUAACUCUAGAUCUUCUCAUGGAAGAGAGUAAUCUUAAUUUUCCUACCAAAAACUUCCCAGAUAAUGCUUGAAGGUGCCAUAAUCUAUAGCUCAAGCCAGACAAAAAGCAAAAGGCAUCACUGUCAGUAAAAUACCAAGCCUUUACUAUCUCCAAUUGUUUGGGCAGUUCUGUUUUCUAACCUUUCAUUUCACAGUGUCACUAUCAACAUUCAACAAAUGACUACAAACCUUAUGGUCUUAACUCAUCACACAAAAGUCACUUUGAGGUUGGAUAUCGCUUUAUUCAAUUCCUGUAACUCAACAAACCCAGUUGAGAAUCAGUUUCCCUAGGGUAUACAUCUUCGUAGUACAUUUGAUUAGGAUCAAUGGAAUAUGUCAUAUGCACAUAGUACACGAGACUUGACUAUGCCAUAUGUCAUUUGACUUAGAGCAAUGGAAUGUGUCAUAUGGCUUGGCUACUCAAGUACUAGCACAAUAUCACUUUGGAAGAACUUGUUCUGUGCACAAGUAGAAUAUAAGCAGUUGAAGAAUUGGAGAUCAAUUUCUCAUUAACAAAAAAAUUUGUACAAAGCCUUUGAUUGUGCAGAGCUUUAUCAGGUUGGUUGAAUGACAUAUCCUAGGAGUUGCUGACAUGGAGCUGAGUAGAUUGAAGUGGAAGUAGUCAAAUAAGUUAGUCAUGUGGAAGAUUUACCUAUUCCUUAGGAGUAUUUGUUGGUUUGUUUCUGUUCUUUAGGAAGUAUCUAUAGGUAGCAGGUUUGUUGCUAUUUUUUAUGUUUUUUUGUUUUAAGCUACUGUAUAAAUAAGUACUUUGAAGCUUAAUAAAUUAUAUAUCACUUUAGAUUCCUCAACGUUCUGUUGCUUCCUGAGAGUUUCUACACUUUGUUUCUAUCAAAACCAACAAAUUGGUAUCAGAGCCAAGUUCUUGAGUAACUUGUGAGGUGAGUGAGCCUAAAAAACCUACAAACAAUAUCCAAAAUGACCUCAAAAGCUUCACUGAAUGCACUGGCACCUCCAGUGUUUGAUGGAAUAAAUUAUCAAGUGUGGGCUGUCCAUAUGGAAGCUACCUUGAUGCUAGUGAUCUGUGGGAAGCUGUUAGUGAGUAAUAUGAAGUUCCUCCUCUGUCCGACAAUCCAACUAUGGCUCAAAUAAAACUACACAAUGAGAAGAGGCAAAGGAAAUCAAAGGCAAAAGCUAGUCUAUUUGCAGUUGUCUCAUCUACAAUUUUCACCAAAAUCAUGACACUGAAGAUAACAAAUGAAAUAUGGAACUUCUUGAAGAAGGAAUAUGAAGGAAAUGAACGAGUCAAAGGUAUGCAAGUGCUGAACCUGAUUAGAGAAUUUGAGAUGUAAAGGAUGAAAGAAUCAGAAACAAUCAAGGAUCACUCAGACAGACUUCUUAGUAUUGUUAACAAAGUAAGACUUCUUGGUACAGACUUUUCUGAUUCUAGAAUAGUUCAAAAAAAUUUUAUAACAGUUCCUGAAAAGUUUGAGACUACAAUAUCAUCUCUAGAAAACUCAAAAGAUGUGUCAAGUAUCACCUUGGUAGAGUUGUUGAAUGCAUUACAGGCUCAAGAACAAAGGAGGCUUAUGAGACAAGAAGGAUUUGUAGAGGGUGCAUUUUAGGCCAUAUCUCAGUACAAGAAAGAGAUGCAAAACAACAAUAACAAUAGCAAUAACACUCAAAAGUUUCUGCCAUGUUCUUACUAUAAAAAAUCCAAUCAUCCACAAAAAAGGUGUUGGUGGAGGCCGGAUGUAAGAUGUCAUAAGUGUGGUCAGCUAGGGCAUGUGGAAAGGAUAUGCAAAUCUCAACAGCAGCAGGGAGAAGUCAAGGCUGCUGUGGAAGAACUUCAAGAUGAGGAACUGUUUUUAGUAUCAUGGUUUGCCACUAAUAGCUCCCCAGAAACUUGGCUUAUAGACAAUGGUUGUACAAAUCAUAUGACUUAUGAUCUAGGGCUCUUUAAGGAACUUGACAAAACUGUUACUUCCAAAGUUAGAAUUGGAAAUGGAGCAUAUCUUGCAGUAAAAGGCAAAGGAAUAGUGGCAAUUGAAGGCCACACAGGUUUGAAAUUAAUCUCUAAUGUCUUAUAUGUCCCUGAGAUUAAUCAAAAUCUGUUGAGUGUUGGUCAGCUGCUGGAAAAAGGCUAUAAGGUGCUGUUUGAGGACAAUCAUUGCAUGAUUGCUGAUGCACAAGGCAGAGAGGUAUUUAUAGCCCAAAUGAAAGGCAAAAGCUUUGCCUUGGAUUUGAUGUAAGAAGAGCAGACUGCAAUUCACAAAGAAAAAAGCAAUACAAUGCUUUGGCAUAGGCGUUUGGGGCACUUUGAUCAUACUACCCUUCUCUUUAUGAAGAAGAACAAUCUUGGAGAAGGCUUUCUUGAAUUAUAGGUGAAGCCUCCUACUUGUGUAGCCUGUCAAUACGGGAAACAAACAAGACUUCCUUUCCCACAAAACAAGGCCUAGAGAGCUACUCAGAAGUUGUAGUUAGUACACAGUGAUGUGGGAGGACCUUAGAGAACACCAUCACUGAAUGACAGCAUUGAGCACCAGCUUACAACACCUUAUACCCCUCAACAGAAUGGAGUCAUUGAGAGGAAAAAUAGAACGUUUAUGGAAAUGACAAGGUGUUUGCUGCAUGACAAAGGGCUGCCAAAGAAAUUCUGGGCUGAGGCUACACAUACAUCAGUCUUUCUGCUGAAUAGAUUGCCAACAAAAGCUUUGCAACAAAAGAGUCCAUUUUGAAGCAUGGUAUGGCCAUAAACCAAGGCUGCAAAAUUUAAAAACAUUUGGUUGUCUUUGUUUCUGUUAUAUUCCACAUGUUAAGAGAGACAAAUUGGAUAAGAAAGUCAGAAUGCUGAUAUCUUAACCAAGCCACUUCCCAAAGCUAGAUAUGAGUUCUUGAGGCAUAGGAUUGGAGUUUGCAGCUCUAGAGACAAGGAGGAGUGUUGAAUGACAUGUCCUAGGAGCUGCUGACAUGGAGUUGAGUAGAUUGAAGUGGAAGUAGUCAAAUAAGUUAGUCAUGUGGAAGAUUUACCUAUUCCUUAGGAAGUAUUUGUUGGUUUGUUUCUAUUCUUUAGGAAGUAUCUAUAGGUAGCAGGUUUGUUACUAUUUUUUAUGUUUUUCUGUUUUAAGCUACUGUAUAAAUAAGUACUUUGAAGCUUAAUAAAUUAUAUAUCACUUUAGAUUCCUCAACGUUCUGUUGCUUCCUGAAAUAUUCUACACUUUGUUUCUAUCAAAACCAACAAGGUUCACGUAAAUACAUUUGUUGAAGCGGGAGGGAGGAAACUUAUGACUUGAAUCAGUUCUGGAGUGGAUUCUGCACUUGAGAAAUAGCCUCUCGAAGAUAGCUGAAAGCUUUUUGGUAAUUCAAGAAUCCCAUAAACCAGAAGUCAAAGUUAUCCAUGGUAACAAUUUCAAUGUACUUCUAAGAAGGAUUUUUCACAUUCUCACUUUGGUUGGCUCUCUUUAUCUUUCUUAGUGGGAUCGAGACCUGCACAAGACAAGUUUUACUUAGAUAUUGAGAAACAAGGAGAAGGAGAGGAAAAGAGAGAGUUAUGGGAGUCAUCUACCUUGUAAUGAAAUCUAACCAAUUCACCAUUUGGGGAAGAAAAUCUGAUUGAUCUUUCACUGAAAAAUGCAAGCCUUUGAGUUGAGAUAAAGAGGAGGCCUGCUAUAGGGCCUGCUGUUGUUGAUAAAUAACAUUGAGAAGCCUUCAACAGCUUCUCUCCUUUUCCAAAACCAAAAAUUUGUCUGAAAACUUUCUUCACCCCUCCAAGUUGAAGAAUCCUAGCCCCCAAUCUCAACUUGCCCUUCACGGUUUCAGAGAUCUUAGACCCUAUUCUCACUGCAGUUUGACCAAAAAGAAGAGAAAGUUAAUUAUCAUUCAAUGUUGUUCCGAAAAUUCAGUAUAGUUGUUGAAAAGAAACCAUUAUCUUACAACUAUGUGUCUAACCCCAAGUAGGGUCCUUAUGAUUCUAAGAAAUUCCCACCAACCAAACAGAGCAAAUAAAAAUUGAUGAAAGAAGAGGAAGAAGAUGGUUACAAUGCUCUCGGACUCCAUGCACAAAAUUUGCUGUCUUUUUCGGAUGUUUUUUCAUCCUAUGAUUCAUUGAAUCAAUUUUAUCUGCAAUUUCAGGAGACAACCCCUUUAGCAAAAUGACUUGUAUCAUUAGCCAAAGUAGACAAAAAUCAUAACAGUGCAAGUUCUUGAAAGAGUGAUUCUUACUUUGAGUUAACAUCAGAGCGCCAUUUGAAGGAGAGGGAUCAUUGCAUUGGCAGUUGAUUGGAAUUCUGACAACCUCUCCUGGAAGUUGGUUCUUCAUACUUCACUACUAUCUGCAAUUGCCUUUUGUGGCUUGUCUGCAACAAGUGGUCUGAAGCCCUCUCUAGUCUCAAAGAUUGAUGCAAUGGUUUUGGGGAUUGAUCAAGCCUUGUCCAAGUGCAAAUAUAUUUAAAGGGAUGAUGAGCCUUGUAACUUUUAUUUGAAUGAGUCCUCUAUGGUUCAUCAACAUGACUAAAGGCCAUACGCCACCUCUAUAAAUAAGUUUUCUUUAACUAAAAGAUAAUCAAGAAGAGGAUCUUUUCAGUUAUUUUCUAUAUAUGUCACACUUAUUUAUGGUUAGUUCUUCAAUUAUUCAAUCCUAACAAGCUUGAUAUGUUAACCUACUUUAUUAACUUGACCCUGUGUUGAUGUGUUGGUGAAGCUUUUUGAGCUGGCACUUUUGCUUUGUGAUGCAAGUGCUCUUCUCAAUUUAGCUGAUGAAACUCACAAGUCACAGAGCUGAUAGGACCAGCUUGCCAUAUUGCUUAUCCCAAGCUUUUUUUUUUCAGUUAUCUUUAUCAUUCUUUUAUCCUCAUCCUUACCUGUUAAGAAAAACCAGUAGCAGGCCAUUUUAACUAAAGAUUCUUCAACUUUUUCUGAAUACAAAUCUCUACAUUAAACCAUAGAAAGUUAGUGAAGGAAUCUAAGGCUGCCUUUAAACGUUACACUGCUGAUGAAGGAUGACAUGAAUAUUAGGUGUUUUUGGAAAAAGAAGAUUCACCGCAUCAUAGCCACAUCAGCUCCAUUUCCCACUGUCAUGCUCAAAUUCAACUCUGGGAUUUUCAAUUUUUUUACUGUUGUGAAGCCUAGAUGUCUGAAAGAGGGUGUUCAAUAUUAUUUUGAGGAUUAAAAGUCAUGAUCAUGUUGAUUGAUCACUUCAGAUUCACAGUAAUCAGGGAACUAUAACUGAUUCAGGCAGGGCAAUAUAGAGCAAACUCCUUUGGAAUUGCACUAGUUCAGCUCUAUAGCCAGCUUUUAUAGCAUGAAAAAAAAACUUCUAAAAUAGCAAUUACUCCAGAGUGACUCAUGCUAUAUACUAGUGGAAAACAUCGGUUAAAGAAUGGCCUAUGCAGAGCUAAGCACAUCAGUGAAGCAGAGGGGAAGAAAUGUAUCAGUUUGAAUCACUUUUUGAGUGGAUUUAAAGCUUAAGAGAUUGUCUGUUGAAGAUAGUUGAAAGCUUUCUGAUAAUUUAAAAACCCUGUGAAACAGAAGCCAGAAUUCUUUAACAGACACUCUUGGGGAAGAAGCCUUCAACAGCUUCUCGUCUUUUCCAACACUGAAAGUUUUCUUGAAAACACUCUUAACCCCUUCUAUUUGAAGAUUCCCAUCCUCCAACCUCAACUUCCCCUUCACAGUUUUAGAGAUCUUAGGCCCCAGUCUCACUGAAGUUUCACAAAAUUCUGUUUGGUUGUUGAGAACCCAUAGGAGAUGAAAGAAAAUUCCAUCAUGUUAUAACUAUCUUUCCAGCCCUCAUUCCAAUGGUCUCAAGGUUUUCUAUAAUUUUCCUCCAUUUUUCCAUAAACCAAACGGAAAAUCUGGUUGUAGAAUAAAAGAAAGAAAGACUUAUAAUGCUCUCAAGCUCCAAGCACAAAAACUUUCACCAUUUUCCCAUAUUUUCUAGUCCUAUUAUUCACAGAAUCUACGUAUCUACUGUUUGAAAAGAACGCCCUGAAACAAAUUCAACUUCCCGAAAGAGGGAAGGAGUAUCUGUCUUCUUUUGAGUGAUCCAUAAUCUUUGAUUCAUUGGUUUAGAGUUCGAUAGUUCUAUCCUAACACUAUAUUUUACUCCCUUUUCUUAUGCUGGCUAUGUAUGGAUAUGUCAAUGAAGCACUUUGAGCCAGCAUUUUUGCUUUGUGAUCCUAGUAAAAAAAAAGGAAAGUGAAAAAGACAUUUGCUAAGCAAAUUUAUCAUUAUAUCACCUGAAUUACAGGGUAAAAGAUUAGAUAUUGUAAUGAUUUUUCAAUAAAUGAUGAUUGUCUGUCAUACUGUCAUCUAUGGGAGAUUACAUCCAACUACCAAACCAGAUCACUAAUUUGUCCUAAAUGGUUGAAUGUUGAAUGGGAUUCUUGUAUUCGCUGGAAGGACAUCAGCAAUUUCUGGGAAUCACCUCAACUUGGUAUGCUUUUAUUGACCCAAUUUCCAUAAAUUCAGACUCCUAAGAGAGUGUAAACGAUAAAAUUGGGGGAGUUUGAUGUCAUAGUUUAAGGGAUUGGAGGUCCCAUGACUCAAAAUGGUGCUAACAGCUACCUUAGGCAUUGGAAGUCAUAGAAUUUUCAGAUAUUAUAGUUUAAUGGACUUUGGAAACUCAAUGUAUCGUUUUACUGAUGAAAUUAUAAUUCAAUGUGCUUAAUCUGUUCAUAAAAGUAUGGAGCUGGUACAAUGAUAAGGUAGUUUAAUUCACAUAAAACUCAACAAUAUGUUUCCAAGACCAAUGAAUUCCAUAGGCCUGUAUGAGGGUAUCAAUUGGUGUCUCAAGUUUCUUAGAAAUGGGAUUGCCAAAAAGGAAGUGCAGAAGCUGGAUAAAGUAAAGGCUUCCUCAUCACAAGACAGCUUACCUGGUUUGAUUCACCAGAGGUGGCCUAACUCAAGAUCUUAUAGAAGAAAGUAAGCCUAUUUGUCCUAGUAAAAGCUUCUGCAAAAAUACUUGAGGUUGGAUAUCACUCUGUAUAUGGUUUUGGAACUCAGAGAUCCAUUCAAUUCCUGUACCUCAACAAAAGCUAUUGUUAAUCUGUUUCCUCAGGUAUUAUGUCUUCAUACUACACCAGAACACAUUUGACAAGAAGCAAUGGAAUGUGUCAUACAGCAUAUAAUACAACAGACACAACAUAAAGAGCUGGGGUUUAUGUGAUAGCAUAGCUACUAUAAUACUAAAACAAUAGUCACUUUGGAAGAACUUGUUCCAUGCACUGAAUAGAAAAUAUGGUUGAAAAAUUGGAAAUCAAUUUCUCAUUAGCAAAAAAAUUGUACAAAGCCUCUGACUGUACAGAUCCUUAUCAGGUUCAUGUAAAUACAUUUGUAGAAGUUGGGGGGAAGAAACUUUGAAUCACUUCUCAACGCUUCACAGAGUGCCUGUUGGAGGUAGCUGAAAGCUUUCUGGUAAUUCAAGAAUCCCAUAAACCAGAAGUCAAAGUUAUCCACAGUAACGAUUUCCAUGUACUUCUGAGAUGGAUUUUUCACAUUCUCGCUUUGGUUGGCUCUUUGUAUCUUUCUCAGUGGGAUAGAGACCU
RNAcentral lists this long non-coding RNA (30827 nucleotides) under Vitis vinifera (wine grape). RNAcentral's name for it is "long non-coding RNA (VVIN_LNC003332)". The record is from RNAcentral. Lineage: Eukaryota; Viridiplantae; Streptophyta; Magnoliopsida; Vitales; Vitaceae.